Molecule: ribosomal RNA, 380 nt
Filed under: uncultured eukaryote
Lineage: Eukaryota
Description: partial 18S ribosomal RNA
Rfam family: Eukaryotic small subunit ribosomal RNA
Source: RNAcentral
CAAUAGCGUAUAUUAAAGUUGUUGCGGUUAAAAAGCUCGUAGUUGGAGUUCUGCCAGGUGCCGCCUGUCCGCCCCAGUGGUGAGUACGUGGCGCGCAUUUGGCCCUUUCAAGGGGAGCGUAUCUGCACUUUAUUGUGUGGUGCGGGAUCCUUGACUUUUACUUUGAGGAAAUAGGAGUGUUCCAAGCAGGCUCUCGUCGUGCACAGCUCAGCAUGGAAUAAUAGCAUUGGACCUCGAUUCUAAGCUGUUGGUUGCCAGAAGCGAGGUAAUGAUGAAGAGGGAUAGUUGGGGGCAUUCGUAUUUAACUGUCAGAGGUGAAUUUCUUGGAUUUGUUAAAGACGGACUACUGCGAAAGCAUCUGCCAUGGAUGUUUUCAUUGA